Molecule: long non-coding RNA, 347 nt
Organism: Brassica oleracea var. oleracea
Lineage: Eukaryota; Viridiplantae; Streptophyta; Magnoliopsida; Brassicales; Brassicaceae
Exons: 4
Source: RefSeq, a predicted model, not a curated record
CCCAUCUCUCUCUCCCUUCACUCACUCACUCCUCUUCGCUCGUGUUUGUAGUUCCGCAUAAACCCUACCUUGUUCGACUCGAGUCGAUAACAUGGAUCAACAGUCCGAACCAGUUACUUACGUCUGCGGAGAUUGUGGACAGAAGAACACUUUGAAGUCUGGGGAUGUGAUUCAGUGCCGAGAGCGUGGUUACCGUAUUCUUUACAAGAAGCGUACCCGUAGAGUUGUUCAAUACGAAGCUCGCUGAGAACCACAGCCCUGAACGAUGAUGAUAUGAAGUCUGUUUAAGAUGGCAUAUAGACUUGUCCUGCCUCUGUUUGUAAUUUAACUUGACUUAAAAUCUGUUU